UCCCGCACGUAGACGAUGCCUGCAGAGGAGACACAAACGCCACUGAGAACGCCGCAGAGGCGGAGCUGAUCACGAGACGACCGUCGCCGCCUGACCGCCGCCUGACCGCCGCCUGACCACGAGUCACUGCGGCUUUUAAGGAUCGUUUUCAUUCAUGAUCCAGAGUUUCCUUCAGACUUCAUCGUUCUGUUCUGCUCCAUCCGCACCUGAGGGGGGUUGCCAUGGUUACGAGGUCAUGUGACGUCCUCUCAGCUGAUCUCUCAGGUGUUCCAGCAGCAGCUCGUCAUGGAAAUCAGGUCGGCUGAUGCAUGAAGACAUGCAAAUCCCUGGGGGGGUGGGGGGUACCAGGACUGACAUCCGUAGGAACUCAAGCUCCUUUUAUACACAGCACUGAUAAAGUCGUGACGUCCCUGAAUGCAUCACAGCAUCAACGACCUGCUAGCUUCCACCGUUAGCCUCCACCGUUAGCCUCCACCU
Molecule: long non-coding RNA, 477 nt
Organism: Oryzias melastigma (Indian medaka)
Lineage: Eukaryota; Metazoa; Chordata; Actinopteri; Beloniformes; Adrianichthyidae
Exons: 3
Source: RefSeq, a predicted model, not a curated record